This 403-nucleotide ribosomal RNA is filed under the name Verrucomicrobiota bacterium. RNAcentral describes it as "Verrucomicrobia bacterium partial 16S ribosomal RNA". It matches the Rfam family "Bacterial small subunit ribosomal RNA", at positions 355 to 776 of the family's 1533-position model. The record is from RNAcentral. Lineage: Bacteria; Pseudomonadati; Verrucomicrobiota.
UGGGGAAUAUUGCACAAUGGGCGCAAGCCUGAUGCAGCAACGCCGCGUGAACGAUGAAGGUCUUCGGAUCGUAAAGUUCUGUUGCAGGGGAAGAUAAUGACGGUACCCUGUGAGGAAGCCCCGGCUAACUACGUGCCAGCAGCCGCGGUAAUACGUAAGGUCCGAGCGUUGUCCGGAAUCAUUGGGCGUAAAGGGUACGUAGGCGGAUAAGCAAGUUAGAAGUGAAAUCCUAUAGCUCAACUAUAGUAAGCUUUUAAAACUGCUCAUCUUGAGGUAUGGAAGGGAAAGUGGAAUUCCUAGUGUAGCGGUGAAAUGCGCAGAUAUUAGGAGGAAUACCGGUGGCGAAGGCGACUUUCUGGCCAUAUACUGACGCUGAGGUACGAAAGCGUGGGUAGCAAACAGG